Molecule: ribosomal RNA, 466 nt
Filed under: uncultured bacterium
Lineage: Bacteria
Description: partial 16S ribosomal RNA
Rfam family: Bacterial small subunit ribosomal RNA
Source: RNAcentral
GACGAACGCUGGCGGCGCGCCUAACACAUGCAAGUCGAACGAGCGAGAGAGAGCUUGCUUUCUCGAGCGAGUGGCGAACGGGUGAGUAACGCGUGAGGAACCUGCCUCAAAGAGGGGGACAACAGUUGGAAACGACUGCUAAUACCGCAUAAGCCCACGGCUCGGCAUCGAGCAGGGGGAAAAGGAGCAAUCCGCUUUGAGAUGGCCUCGCGUCCGAUUAGCUAGUUGGUGAGGUAACGGCCCACCAAGGCGACGAUCAGUAGCCGGACUGAGAGGUUGAACGGCCACAUUGGGACUGAGACACGGCCCAGACUCCUACGGGAGGCAGCAGUGGGGAAUAUUGCACAAUGGGGGAAACCCUGAUGCAGCGACGCCGCGUGGAGGAAGAAGGUCUUCGGAUUGUAAACUCCUGUUGUUGGGGAAGAUAAUGACGGUACCCAACAAGGAAGUGACGGCUAACUACGUG